CCUACGGGAGGCAGCAGUGAGGAAUAUUGGUCAAUGGGCGCGAGCCUGAACCAGCCAAGUAGCGUGAAGGAUGACUGCCCUACGGGUUGUAAACUCCUUUUAUAAAGGAAUAAAGUGAGGCACGUGUGCCUUUUUGUAUGUACUUUAUGAAUAAGGAUCGGCUAACUCCGUGCCAGCAGCCGCGGUAAUCCGGAGGAUCCAAGCGUUAUCCGGAUGUAUUGGGUUUAAAGGGAGCGUAGAUGGGUUGUUAAGUCAGUUGUGAAAGUUUGCGGAUCAACCGUAAAAUUGCAAUUGAUACUGGCAGUCUUCAGUACAGUUGAGGUAGGCGGAAUUCGUGGUGUAGCGGUGAAAUGCUUAGAGAUCACGAAGAACGCCGAUUGAGAAGGCAGCUUACUAAACUGCCACUGACAUUGAUGCUCGAAAGUGUGGGUAUCAAACAGGAUUAGAUACCCCAGUAGUC
This 460-nucleotide ribosomal RNA is filed under the name uncultured bacterium. Its description in RNAcentral is "partial 16S ribosomal RNA". It matches the Rfam family "Bacterial small subunit ribosomal RNA", at positions 338 to 795 of the family's 1533-position model. The record is from RNAcentral.